CACAACCCCAACACACACACAGUAAGAAAGAAAGAAACAAAGGGAGAGAGAGAGCGAAUAGGAGAAAAGGGAAAUAGAGAGAGGAAUCCGAGAGAGAACAGAGGAGGUGGAAGGGCUGCUGCCUCGCCGCGCCGUGUCACGUUGCCGUCCAGCCGCGUCGAAGAAGGAGAGGCAUCGCCGUCACCGUCGAAUGGGCCAAUUGAGGGAGAGUGAGAGAUGAACGGGAGAGCUCGCGAUGGAGAGAGGGAAGAUGCCGCCACUGUACGAGUCGCCGUCGAGCUCGCCGAGCAGAAGCUUGUCGCCGCCAUUCACGCAUCUAUCGCCGUCCGAGGAGCUUCCAUGGCCGCUGCCGUCGAGCUCACAAGUGAGAGAAAGAGAGUUCGCAUGUGAGAGAGGACGGUGUUGCGUCGCCGUUCGUUGUUGCGCAGCCACCGCCACGCCUUGUCGUCGUCGCCAAAGCCGCCAUCGUCGCCACGUCUCACCGCCGAAGGGGAGCCUUGCCAACGCCAUUGCCGAAACCAGGCCAGAUUCACCGGCUGUCGCGGCGUCGUUAAGGUGCUUCGAAGGGGGAGACACGUGACAAGGAGUUGGAAUUACUGCUGUCACACUGCUGCUGAGGGCCAGCCACCGCGCCGAGCUUCUGCCACCGUCAGGUCUACCGUCUGGUCACCAUGUAUUGCGCAGGUGUAGCAGGAAUCACUGCCGGAGCUGCUGCCGCUUCGUUCAUCCUUUCUUUUUGCGAGUUGCUGUGAUUGCUGCGAAAAUGGGUUAGAACUGAGGAUGCGGCUGCCGCCGUUGCGGGCCAAGAGAAAUCAGAGUUUUGUCACGUAAUUGAGUCGCGAACGAGGACCAAAAGCACGUUGCCCUCCCACAACGGCCAACACAUCAAGAUCGGCCAGAAAGGACUUUCAGCGGCAGGGGCCAGGGCGGCGUAGUCAACGGCGGCGCAGGGCUGGUUUGUCGUCAACCACGUGGCGGGUGGUAGGGUCCGGUGGCGUAGUCAACGGUGGUGCGGGGACUGGGUUGAUAUCAACGGCGGUGGCGUAGCCAACGGUGGUGCGGGGACUGGGUUGAUAUCAACGGCGGUGCAGGUGGCAGAGGCGGAGGUGGAGGACGGGUGUCUUAUAUCGGCUGCUGUUUGGUUCGAUUUUUUAAAAAAAAAUUAUACAAACCAAUUAUUUGUAAAAUUUUCGAUUUGGUUUGGUUUUACUCUAGCGCCAUCGCCUCCCCAUAAGACACCUGACUCCACCUUCACCUCUGCCCUGCACCGCCAUUGAUGCCAACCCAGCCCCUGUGCCGUUGACUACGCCGGCCCCCGGACCCUGCCACCCGCGACGCCACUGAUUCCAAUCCAGCCCUGAGCCGGCGCUGACUACGCUGGCCCCGGCCCCUGCCAUUGACUUUAUUGUUGCUUAGGAGAGCCUUGCAAGUUUGUUUGAAGGUACACUUAGCAUUCCGAAAAUCACACAAUGGUAUGUCUUAUGUUGGACCUGUUACUACUAAUGGAUUGUUAUCUUAUAUUAUAUCAGCCCAACAAAAGUAAAUAUACAUAGCUGUUAGCCAUAUUUUUCAGCUUAGGGACCAUUAUAAGAGUGCUAAACUUGCUUCCAAACUCAAUUCCUCAUGGAAUUAACAAAAGUGGUCUUUGGGUAUUAUUGUUAUUUAUUAUAAUAUGAAUUAUUAAUCACAUUAGAAAGACCAAAUUAAAUAAAAAAACUAACUAUACAAGUCAUAUUAGAGUCAUAAGUAGUGGAAAAUUGUAGUCAAAGAAUACUAAAAAUAUCUACUAGAAAAGGGUAUUUUCCUCUCUAAUUUGUUUUCUAUUUUUCCUCUUUCAAAAUAGUAGAUUAGGUAUUUUCUUUGACUGGAAUGUGGAAGAAAGUACUCUUUCAUUCUAACAAAUGCCCUCGUUUUCUUUCCUUGUUUGAGAUCAAUUAAUUGUUCUUGUUUAAAACUAUUGCUUCUGUUGUUACUCAAAUCUUUCUAAAUUCGUUGUUUGUAUUUGCACAAUUUUCCUGAUGUGUUGCUGCAUCCAUUGAUGAGUUCUGUAUUCUUCAUUGCAGUUUUGGAAGGUAGACCCUUGUUAGAGGUUAUGUUUUCUCCUCUUUUGCCUAGUUAGUUUUGCUCAAAUAUUUUGGCAAAUAUUAAUGGGAUCCAUGUAAUCACAUAAAUACUCAACAUGGUUGUUCCUGGAAUCAAAGGACUCAUAUAUAGUUCUUUAAAAUUGGGUAAUUUAAUAUCAUUCUUAAUUGAGUUUGCGUCUUUAUUAAUUCUUUUUCUUCCAAUUUUCCAUUUCUGGUUUUGUUGACUAAAUUUUACAUAUCAUCUGAUCAUGUGGUUUUCUUACCUAACCUGGUUGGAGGUUUACUUCUCGUUUUGUAUUGUUGAUUUAUGACUAUUCAUGAUUAAAUGAGUUUGAUGCCAUCUAGUAGAGUAAUUUUUCUUCUGAUGUCACUUUACUUGUUAGUUAUUCAAAUUUAAUCAAAGCAAUUUGUUUGAAUGCAUUUUUUUAUUCUUGAAAUUGCUUACCUCUCAUUCUUCCAUCAAUUGAUUAUUACUUCACAUGUUUAUAUCAUAUAUAUGUAUCAUUUGCAUUUUUUUUUCUUGGAUAUCAGAUUUAGGUAUUAUCGAUAUAGGUGAGUCAUGUGAUCAUUGACAUACUUAUAAGAUAUGAGUGCGUUUGUUUCACUCUUUCUUUUAUAUUAUAACCCAUUAUUUGCAGGCCUAUGAUAAACAGAUUCAGAGAUCAAUUAGCUGUGGGAGAAGUUUAUAAGAUGAUUUUUUUUUUCCGUCAUGAAUCAUGGCUCUUAUAGGGUAACUAGCAUGAUUUCAUGUUGAUUUUCCAGUUUAAGACCACUGGUAACCCCUGCAACUUCUGAUUUUAUACCUAAACUUGGAUUGAAAAUUACUCCAUUUGUUGAGUUUUAACAAAUUACUCAGGAUUCUGAUUAAUUAGUGGGUAUGCUUUAUCCUUUUUCCCCCUAAUGUUUUCUUUAUUUGUUUCUCUCGGAUUUCUGUUAAUAUUUCUUAUACGUUUGUUUCUUGAAUAUCAUUUUUUAAUAGCUGUUAUGGGUUUCCUUAUAUCAGAUGUUAUGAGUUUUGAGGUUUAAAAUUUAUAUUAUCUUUCCUUAUCUAAAUGUCUAAAUUAUUUGCUGUUUUGGGUUGAGGAUUCAGUGUGCUGAGUAUGUGGAUCAACUUAAUGUAUUUGAUAUCAUUUAAGGAGACAUUUGAGAGAGCACUUACUUUCCUGUUCAUCUCUGUGGUCCUAUGCAAUGCUUGCACCGCAAAUUUCGUUAGCUUUUUGGUUUAUUUUUUGUCUAAGGUCAGAGUUUCAGGAUUCAACAUUUUGAUGUGCUGGUGAAAUACUGGUCCCAUUUUAUUUUGUUGCCUUUUAUAUUCAAUGAGAAUCUCCCUAUUGCCUCUACAGAAGGGAUCUUUAAACUUAAAAAGUCUAUUUUUUGUACGGUUUAGUUUAAAGUGUAUUUGUGCUAAUUUGUCAAUUUUUUUACCCCAAAGCUACCCUAAAUUCAGCAAGAAGCCUCCUCUGCUUCUCCGACUGUGUGUUGCCACUUGCCACAAGAUCAGUUCACGACUCUCUUUCAAGUUGAAGAUGUAAGCCUGCCAUGUUCAAACUGGUCGUAGUGAUGUCACUGAACAAUUUCUUUCAGGGUAUUGUGAGGCUGAAUCCUUGCUUAAAGAUUACAGAUGGAAAUAGUGGCCAACUUUAGAGGCAGUAACGUUUGCAUCGGAAGAGACGAGCUCACCGGAAACCACCAUAGAGAAAAACUAAACAAGUUUAGGAAUGUUGGAAUUUUGUUCAUUGUAAAUUCGUUGAUGCUAGAACUCUGUGUGAAUAUAGUAUCCUCUUAAUUUUGUUUGUUGAUGUGUGAAUAUAUUCGUUCUUAUUCCUCACCAAUUUGUAUGCCCCUGAUCUCUUAGCCGCUGUUGGUUUUUGUUGCAUAUUGUUAGAUAGGCCCUAGUUAUGUUUUCUCCUCCAUGAUAUCUCAUAAAUUAUCAACGUGAUUGCUCCUGGCAUGGAAGGAUUUGUAUAUAGUUCUUUAAAAUUGGAUAAUUUAAUAUCAUUCUUAACCAGGUUUGCCUCUUUGUUAAUUCUUUUUCUUCCAAUUUUUCAUUUCUUACCUAACCUGGUUGAA
This is a long non-coding RNA of Arachis stenosperma, 4154 nucleotides long. RefSeq lists it as uncharacterized. The transcript has 5 exons. The record is from RefSeq and is a predicted model, not a curated record. NCBI's taxonomy places the organism in Eukaryota, Viridiplantae, Streptophyta, Magnoliopsida, Fabales, Fabaceae.